RNAcentral lists this non-coding RNA (155 nucleotides) under Ctenophora environmental sample. The record is from RNAcentral. Lineage: Eukaryota; Metazoa; Ctenophora.
AUGUCUGCCUGAUACCACAAAAAGUAUCAGGAGGAAAGUCCGAACACCAGAGGAUAGAACACUUCCUAAUGGGAAGUCCUGGCGACAGGGAGACGCUCCACAGAAAUAUACCGCCAAAAUUUGGUAAGGGUGAAAUGGUAGUGUAAGAGACUACA